AGAGUUUGAUCAUGGCUCAGAGCGAACGCUGGCGGCAGGCUUAACACAUGCAAGUCGAGCGGGCGUAGCAAUACGUCAGCGGCAGACGGGUGAGUAACGCGUGGGAACAUACCUUUUGGUUCGGAACAACACAGGGAAACUUGUGCUAAUACCGGAUAAGCCCUUACGGGGAAAGAUUUAUCGCCGAAAGAUUGGCCCGCGUCUGAUUAGCUAGUUGGUAGGGUAAUGGCCUACCAAGGCGACGAUCAGUAGCUGGUCUGAGAGGGAUGAUCAGCCACAUUGGGACUGAGACACGGCCCAAACUCCUACGGGAGGCAGCAGUGGGGAAUAUUGGACAAUGGGGGCAACCCUGAUCCAGCCAUGCCGCGUGAGUGAUGAAGGCCCUAGGGUUGUAAAGCUCUUUUGUGCGGGAAGAUAAUGACGGUACCGCAAGAAUAAGCCCCGGCUAACUUCGUGCCAGCAGCCGCGGUAAUACGAAGGGGGCUAGCGUUGCUCGGAAUCACUGGGCGUAAAGGGUGCGUAGGCGGGUUUUUAAGUCAGGGGUGAAAUCCUGGAGCUCAACUCCAGAACUGCCUUUGAUACUGAAGAUCUUGAGUCCGGGAGAGGUGAGUGGAACUGCGAGUGUAGAGGUGAAAUUCGUAGAUAUUCGCAAGAACACCAGUGGCGAAGGCGGCUCACUGGCCCGGUACUGACGCUGAGGCACGAAAGCGUGGGGAGCAAACAGGAUUAGAUACCCUAGUAGUCC
Molecule: ribosomal RNA, 745 nt
Filed under: uncultured bacterium
Lineage: Bacteria
Description: bacterial SSU rRNA
Rfam family: Bacterial small subunit ribosomal RNA
Source: RNAcentral